GACGAACGCUGGCGGCGUGCUUAACACAUGCAAGUCGAACGGAAAGGCCCUGCUUUUGUGGGGUGCUCGAGUGGCGAACGGGUGAGUAACACGGGAGUAACCUGCCCUUGACUUUGGGAUAACUUCAGGAAACUGGGGCUAAUACCGGAUAGGAGCUCCUGCUGCAUGGUGGGGGUUGGAAAGUUUCGGCGGUUGGGGAUGGACUCGCGGCUUAUCAGCUUGUUGGUGGGGGAGUGGCUUACCAAGGCUUUGACGGGUAGCCGGCCUGAGAGGGUGACCGGCCACAUUGGGACUGAGAUACGGCCCAGACUCCUACGGGAGGCAGCAGUGGGGAAUAUUGCACAAUGGGCGGAAGCCUGAUGCAGCAACGCCGCGUGCGGGAUGACGGCCUUCGGGUUGUAAACCGCUUUCGCCUGUGACGAAGCGUGAGUGACGGUAAUGGGUAAAGAAGCACCGGCUAACUACGUG
RNAcentral lists this ribosomal RNA (468 nucleotides) under uncultured bacterium. RNAcentral's name for it is "partial 16S ribosomal RNA". It matches the Rfam family "Bacterial small subunit ribosomal RNA", at positions 28 to 507 of the family's 1533-position model. The record is from RNAcentral.